AUGCUGGGAAUACCAACUAACACUUGUUACAGAGUGUGCAUGGCGGCUGCUGACAGGCCUUCCCAGUGCCAGCAAGUGGAUACAGAAGCAAUCUCCCAAGCUUUCCAUGACAUUCAAGUGACCAGGCACUUGGACACCCAUCACUGGGGCUGUGUUCCUACCUUAGCCAGUGCCCACAAGCAGCAGCGGUUCCUCUGGCGUUUUGACCCUGAGAGAAGAUGGAAAACCCUAGGUGCUGGGGAUCAUGGAGAUGCUGGCCCCUUCCAACAGCAGCCUCGCUCUUCUUCCUUUUACCACCAAACCUGGAUGCCUCUCUUCUUCCACACUCUCUGCCCUGUCCUCUUAUCCAUUCUCCUCCUCCUCUCUCUCCCUCCAUUCCCCUUCCCUCUCAGAGGUUACCAAUAACUUGCAAUGUUAAUUUCGGUGGUUUUUCACCAUUCAUUAUCUGGUGUUUUGCCCAGGUAAUGAAUCUCUUUUGCUUAUCUUCUCUCUCCUCCAAUUCCUUAGCCCUUAUCUUUCCUUCAUCAAAUCCUUCUCCUCCCCCACGUGGGUACUGAAUAAUUGUCUGCUCUCGGCUCUCUCCUCUCCUUCACACAUUCUCACACAACGGAGUGACCUUUGAUUGGUUUUGUGACCACCCAGCGUCUAUUCCCUGUCUUUUGAUUGCCAAAUCUGUUUGCUUUGGAGGAAUCACCUUUCCUGCUUUAUGUGUCACCUUGUCGGGAAUGGAUGACAAGAUGUCUUUACUUCUUCUAGCCAAGGGGUGGGUGUAUGACCAAGUUCACUGGAUCCCCUCCCAGGACUUUGCAUAGUAGAGGGAAUGGAGAAAGUAGUUGGAGCUGACUCAUCCCUGCUUGAUGAGAUUGUUUGUGAAUUCUUCCCACAUGGGUCUCUAGAACUGCCUUAGUUCCUGUCUGUUCUGAAUAGAAGUCCGUUGGGCUCUUUUCUACCCAGAUUUGGUUUCUGUUGCUUGCAGCUAAGAACCCGUAGCAGGUACAUCCUAGAUGCACAUAACUUUGCCUAGUUCUGGAUGAUUUCCAAGCCAGUAUCUACAGAUGGCCUUGACCCUGUCCAGGGUCCUAUUCACAUAUCUCCAAAUGGCUGGCAGAUACUUCUAUUUAAUAUCCCACCAUCAUCUCCCACCUGACAGUCCUAAAGCCAAGUUAUUUUCUCUCUCCCAAAGCAGUUCUUCCUCUUAUACUCCAUAAGGGUUUUAGAAGAAUGAAUGCCAUCUCGGUCACUGAAACCAGGAAGAUGGGAAUGUGUUCUGACAACUCCUUCCUCCCUUUAUUUAUCCUAUAUCCAGCAUUGCCUGGGUGCUACUAAUAUUUUCUUCCUCAUGUCCUUCUUAUUCAUUAACCCCCCCUUAUUUUGUAUUUAGUUCAGACCCUCAUCACUUCAUACC
This 1405-nucleotide long non-coding RNA is filed under the name Sus scrofa (pig). RNAcentral's name for it is "lncRNA (ENSSSCG00055022002.1)". Lineage: Eukaryota; Metazoa; Chordata; Mammalia; Artiodactyla; Suidae. The record is from RNAcentral.